Long non-coding RNA from Equus caballus (horse), 1658 nucleotides. NCBI's taxonomy places the organism in Eukaryota, Metazoa, Chordata, Mammalia, Perissodactyla, Equidae. The record is from Ensembl.
AAUAGUUCCUGGAGUCCCAAGUUAUCGUAGGGACAUGUGCCUUUGGAGUCAUGAACUGCUGUGAAAAGAAGUCUGGUGACCUUGAAGCUACCAUGUGGAGAGACUUCAUGGAGAGACCCGUUCGGAGAGGAGAGGCUGCUAGCCAAGCAGGGAUCAAAUACCUGACAUGUAAGCAUGCCAGCCUUUAGAUGGUUCCAGUCCCCUGUCUUUGAGUCUUUCAUCUGAGACCCAAGGCAUCAUAAAGCAUAGAUAAGUCAUUUCUAUUUUGCCCUAUUUGAAUUCCUGACCUUUGUUGAUAAAACCAUCAACAAAAUAAAUGGUUGUUUCUUGUCACUACGUUUUGGAGUUAUACUCUGUGGUCAUAGUACCUGGAACAACACUUCCUACCUGAAAUUCAGGCCCAACUUUUCAGGCUCUCAGAAGGGAAAAAUAGCAUCCUAAAGAAGAUACACAUUCUGUAUAUUUGUCUUAUCGCCAGCGAUGAGUAUAUUGCCAUUGACAUUUCAUGAGGAGCAUUUAAGUACCUCAAUAUCUCACACCUUUCUAUGCCAUUAUGGAUUCUUUACUUAUUUUUGCCUAGCCAAAUCUUGUGUUAAAUUGUCUUAUCCUAAAACAAAGAUCCAGUCUUCUCUUAGAGGUGAAUCAAAUCCUUAAUAUCUAGAGAAUCAGCAAAACUAUUUACUGCUUUAAAAAUGGCAUUUUUUUCUCUUGUCUCAAAAAUAUGAAGGUCAAAGCUCAAACUAAAGACCUGAUAAUUUCUAUCAUACUUGAGAGGAUGGAGUUGGAAGAGGUCAAGGAAUCAGCUCACUUUAAGACAGGUAGCCUCUCUUUCUUGCUGUCAAUCUGAGGGUUUGCUAACAGGGAGAGGUGGGAUAUGUUCAGAAGAGACUUACCUUAUUCCAUAUUAAGAAAAUACAGGUCUGACACUUCUGAUAGCAACCUACCCCAAAUUAACGGGAAGUUGUGAUUUGCCUUGUAAUAAAAUAAGAAUGAUGAAAUUCAGCAAACAACUCAUAUUCUUCAACUAAAUUACUCCUAAAGGGUAUUUGCCAUUGGCAAAGCUUUAAAUUUAAAAUGUAGUUUCUGGGGAAUUUUUUUUUAUUUUUUCAGCAGUGGAUUGUCACCUUGUCAUCUGUCUUUUAAACCACUUUCCUUUGAGUAGUUUCUGAGAUCGCAGAAAGUACUAUUUAAAUUGUUUGUUUUUGUUUGUCUUACUCUCAAAAGUAGGACCCUGGGGGCAGUUGGAAGAAAGAAAAGGAAAAAAAGCUAUGUAUCAUAUUCUAUUAAAUCACCAGGUCAUCUGUUUUUGGCAACAGUAAUACCAUCUGAGCGCUUAGAAAUGGGGUUAAUAAAUACCCUAUGUGACACCAGCUGCCUAGCCAGAUUUGCUCCAGGGACCAAUGCUCAGAGUUUGAGAACCUCUGCAGGACUCCUUCCUAUACAUUUGAUGGAAGGAUGCCCAGUGACUUCAUGAUGCCCUUCAGGAAUUGGCCUGUGGUGGAGUUGAGAGGCUGUCCUCUGGGAAUUAUAGUCUCAUCCUGUCCUUCAAUAUUGGCCUUCCCCCAGGGUCACAGCCCAAGAGGACCUUUCCUUGCCUGCCAGCCUCCUUUGCUUCUGCAGAGUGUGAGCCAUUUUAUUAAGCAUGCAGUUCUCUGUUU